AACCCAGAUUCCAUCACCCACAGAUCUAAAAAUUGGUCUGAGGGGCUGAAAACAGGAGGAAAAGUAACCUGAGGUGGACUUGGGAGUCUUGAGUGACAUGCAAGUUCAUUGCAAACAUAU
This 120-nucleotide small nucleolar RNA is filed under the name Echinops telfairi (small Madagascar hedgehog). Its description in RNAcentral is "Small nucleolar RNA SNORA61 (ENSETEG00000025514.1)". Lineage: Eukaryota; Metazoa; Chordata; Mammalia; Afrosoricida; Tenrecidae. The record is from RNAcentral.